MicroRNA precursor from Oryza sativa Indica Group (long-grained rice), 230 nucleotides. It matches the Rfam family "MIR812 microRNA precursor family". Lineage: Eukaryota; Viridiplantae; Streptophyta; Magnoliopsida; Poales; Poaceae. The record is from Rfam.
UUUAAGUACAGUUAUAAGUUUUCGUGUCCAACGUUUGACUGUUCGUUUUAUUUUUUUAUGAUUACUAUUUUUAUUGUUAUUAGAUGCUAAAAACUAUUUUUAUUGUUAUUAGAUGAUAGAACAUAAAUAGUACUUUAUGCAUGACUUAUUUUUUUAAUUUUUUAUAAGUUUUUCAAAUAAGACGGACGAUCAACGUUACGUUGGACACGGAAUACAUAGCUACACUUAAA